AUUUUUUUUUCUUUAUUAAAUUUUCAAAUCCUACUUUAAGUAACAUUUUCAUGAUAUUCUUUCAUUUGCAGGGAGUAAGCAUCUUCUAGAGAUGAAUAGGAUUUUAAGGCCUGGGGGAUACUUUAUCUUGUCAACUAAACAUGACAGCUUUGAAGCUGAAGAAGGUAAACAAAUAUCUAGAAAACUAUGAAAUGGCCCUUACUGGAUUUGAAGCUGCUGCUUUAAAGGAUCCUGGUCUCAAUGCUACCGAAGAGGUUCAAAAGAUUGUUAACCUUCUUGACAAGCUAGAUAAUUUGUUAAGGGUAAUGCAUUUUUCAUUCGUAAAUGUGGUAUCUUGAGGUCUUGAGUAUGUGUUUCCAAAGUGGUUUCUAGGAUCAAGGGGCCUUGGGCUAUCAUCUAUUGGCAGGUAACUUUUGAGUGGUAAGUUUCGAUUUAAUGUGAUUGGAAUGUGUUGCACUAUCUGUUUUGCUUUGGAUACUAGUUUGAAUUAUGCCAAAUACGGCUUUGCACUCUUUCUAAUGUUAUUUGUCUUUCUAUGGCAGUUGCUUUAAUUCCUCUAUCUAUUUUUCACCAACAUUUUGGUUCCACUUUUCGUUUUUCUUUUUCAAUUUUCAUUAGUUUUGCUUUAGAUCCAAUAUUAUAUGCUAUCUAUGUCCUAAGUUAUGGAUUUGUGAUCUCGCUUUCAUUUUCAUAUUGUCCAGUCUGGUAUGGUGAACCAGUAAGCAUUUUUACCUUUGGGUGAGAUUUUGGUUUCUCUUUAAUAUGAUUUUUAACUCUGACAGAUUCAAUUUGUUAAUGGACGUGUACCACAAUCUAUAUCAGAAAUACGAGGGUUGGUGUGCGAGGACAUAACUGGGGGUCUAGAGGAUAUUGCCAUUCCAGCU
This is a long non-coding RNA of Rosa rugosa (rugosa rose), 884 nucleotides long. RefSeq lists it as uncharacterized. The transcript is spliced from 3 exons. Lineage: Eukaryota; Viridiplantae; Streptophyta; Magnoliopsida; Rosales; Rosaceae. The record is from RefSeq and is a predicted model, not a curated record.